RNAcentral lists this ribosomal RNA (876 nucleotides) under Methylobacterium aerolatum. RNAcentral's name for it is "partial 23S ribosomal RNA". It matches the Rfam family "Bacterial large subunit ribosomal RNA", at positions 1 to 883 of the family's 2925-position model. Lineage: Bacteria; Pseudomonadati; Pseudomonadota; Alphaproteobacteria; Hyphomicrobiales; Methylobacteriaceae. The record is from RNAcentral.
GUGCCUUAAGAGCAUUCGGUGGAUGCCUUGGCGCUGAGAGGCGAUGAAGGACGUGGUACGCUGCGAUAAGCCUUGGGGAGCUGCGAACGAGCUUUGAUCCAGGGAUUUCCGAAUGGGGAAACCCACCUUCGACCUUCCGUAUGGUGGUGCGGGCGCGAGCCCGCACUUCCAUACGGUCGGUCAGAUGAAGGUAUCAAAUCCUGAAUCCAUAGGGGUUUGAAGCGAACCCGGGGAACUGAAACAUCUCAGUACCCGGAGGAAAGGACAUCAACGAGACUCCGUUAGUAGUGGCGAGCGAACGCGGAUCAGGCCAGUGCCUGUUGUGAGAUUACCGGAACGGUCUGGAAAGGCCGGCGUGAUGGGUGACAGCCCCGUACGGGACGGUUGAUCGACAGGACUCGAGUAGGGCGGGACACGUGAAAUCCUGUCUGAACAUGGGGGGACCACCCUCCAAGCCUAAGUACUCCUCAGCGACCGAUAGCGAACCAGUACCGUGAGGGAAAGGUGAAAAGCACCCCGACGAGGGGAGUGAAAGAGUACCUGAAACCGGAUGCUUACAAACAGUGGGAGCCCAAGGUUUGUCCUGGGUGACCGCGUACCUUUUGUAUAAUGGGUCAGCGACUUAAAGUUACGAGCGAGCUUAAGCCGAUAGGUGGAGGCGCAGCGAAAGCGAGUCUGAACAGGGCGUUCAGUUCGUGGCUUUAGACCCGAAACCGAGUGAUCUAGCCAUGUGCAGGAUGAAGGUGGGGUAACACCCACUGGAGGUCCGAACCAGUGCCCGUUGAAAAGGUCUUGGAUGACGUGUGGCUAGGGGUGAAAGGCCAAUCAAACUCGGAAAUAGCUGGUUCUCCGCGAAAGCUAUUUAGGUAGCGCCUC